Molecule: long non-coding RNA, 1848 nt
Organism: Cyprinus carpio carpio
Lineage: Eukaryota; Metazoa; Chordata; Actinopteri; Cypriniformes; Cyprinidae
Source: Ensembl
CAUCAUAUAGGCUAUAAAAUCCCCUUGCAAGGAGUUUUUGUUUCUGCAGAAUGCAUGCCAUCACUUUUACUCUUCAUACUUUAAAGGGGUCAUAGGAUGCCCAUUUUCCACAAGUUGAUAUGAUUCUUUAGGGUCUUAAUGGAGAGUCUGUAACAUAGUUUGGUUAAAAUUUCUCAAUGGUAGUGUAAAACCCAUUUUUUCUACCUGUCAAAAACAGUUCUUUUCAGAGCACACAGUUCAGUAGGAUUUCCAUUUCCAAAGCCGACCUCAUACAUCAUCAGCCCGGAGCUGCUUCCGUGUACAACAGUGAGCGCAAGCUACAUUAAAGAAAUUAUUACGUUUUGAAUAUGGAUAUUUUUCAUACAAAAAUGCAUCAAUUCGCUAGAGGAGGCCUUUGCUCACCCCCCGGAGCCAUGUGAGACACUUUUUUUAAUGGAUGGGCGCUUUUUAUUUCUCUGCUUUUGGACUGAUGCAUGUAACACCUGCUGAGUGGCAUUAAACAGCUUGAAAGAUCAAAGACAAUUUUUAAUAUAAGUCUGACUGGAUUCGUCUGAAAGAAGAAAGUCAUAUACACCUAGGAUGACUUGAGGGUGAGUAAUUAAUGGGUUAAUUUUUUUUUUUUUUUUUGGGGUGAACUAACCCUUUAAUGAUGACUGUUAUGUUCAUUAUUACAUUCAACAACAGAACACCUUAAUCUCUUAGGAGUCAUUCUUGUCUACAUCUGCUCCAGCGUCGAAACAAUGGCGGACUGAUGACAGCUCACUCAGGGCGGGUCUAAGGUGGGUGGCCAACUUCACGAAGGUCAACACAGUGAGGCUGUGAAUGUCAGAACAUCUGAACAUUAAGUGCAGCACAAACUUCUCUGAUCCAGACAGCUACGACUUGGUAUUUUCUUGUGGGACCAGCAUGGAGGUGACCAGGUUGCCAUAUUUGUUGAGCAGCAAAAGGGUACAGCGGAGGUGAAGCUCCUUAUUCUGAAGCAGAAGGGGGGAGAGGUCUGUGGAAAGGUUGGACUUCACUGUUCUGUAAACAGAGUGGUGAUCAUCAACAGUUCAGACUAUAAGCUCGAAGAUGUGCAGAUCUGCGAUGGAACGGGUGAGAUGAAGGUCAGCUUCAUCAACGUAGCAUGAGGCCGGCAACUCCUAUGUUUUCAAGAACCUUUCUAUGCAAGAGAGAUGGGUGCUUAUGCAUGUGCACUGGUCCAUCCAGUACCAUGGAGCAGAUCUCUGACUUUGAGGUGGUGGAGGGAGAAGGCAGGCAGCAGGAAGACAGAUCAACAGCACUUCUCAGUCCCACAAUAAAGGGCAUAGAGGUGACGAUUCAAUGGUGGUGUUCCAGCUGCCAGUACAAGCAGAGGGAGUUUGUGGAGAAGUCAAACAUGCACAGGUGCGAGGGCUGCAGACUGUAACAGGUGUCGCUGUCAUUCUCCGCCUCUUUUGGAGGGAAAGCUACUAUCUGCACUGAAAACGGCAAGGAGAGUGUACCAGUGUGUUCAAUGAUGUGGAGUUAACGCAAGACUGAGAAGAUUUUACCUGCUACCCAAGAUCCACAAGGACCCGGGUAGUUGGAGCAUACCCAGCCAGAUGAAGGGAAUGGCCAUGGGAAAGAAGUUUGCUCCCUCCUAUGCCAAUAUUUUUAUGGCAGAAUGGAAGGAAACAGCCCUAGCCAUGGCUGUAAAAAAGCCUCUGAUCUAAUACAGAUUUUGGAUGACAUCUAGGGCAUCUGGACCCACUCGCUGGAGAUGAUUUUCACAAAUUAUCACAAACCAUUUGGACACUUACCAGCGAUCUAUUAAUAUCCAACUCACUGACUGUAUACUUUCUGGAUGUUGUCUUUUACAAAGGGCCC